UGGGGGAGAUGAAGAACAAACCCUAUCCUCUGAUGGAAUUACUGGAGAGAAAUCUCGGUUCAACCCGACUGCAGGGUGUUCUGGCUCAUGUACUGCAGAAGACACAAAUUUUGCUUUUUGAGUGACUGGCUUAUGAAUGACACAGCUUCAGUGAGCUUUAGCGAAAGGCACAUACAAUGAUGGGUGCAAAUGUAGAGACUGGGAGGAGGUCCUUUUGAAAGUAUUUCCAUUUCUGUGAUCUCAUCUUAUCUCAGAUGCUGAGCAGUUUCACUCCUGGCCAAAAUGGGGAUAGAAGAUUUCCAAGAACAUCCCCUCCCUCCCUGGUACUCUGAAAAGUGGUCUGAAGGUCAGUUGAUGGUACACUCC
Molecule: long non-coding RNA, 366 nt
Filed under: Chrysemys picta bellii (western painted turtle)
Lineage: Eukaryota; Metazoa; Chordata; Testudines; Emydidae
Description: lncRNA (ENSCPBG00000005467.1)
Source: RNAcentral